Long non-coding RNA from Leptopilina boulardi, 439 nucleotides. RefSeq lists it as uncharacterized. The transcript is spliced from 2 exons. NCBI's taxonomy places the organism in Eukaryota, Metazoa, Arthropoda, Insecta, Hymenoptera, Figitidae. The record is from RefSeq and is a predicted model, not a curated record.
AGCGCCUUAAGUUCGGUGGAGUUGGCCAUGCGGGAGAGAUGGACAAUUCAAAUAUUUUAUAGAAUUUUCUGCUAGGUAUUGCUUAUUAAAGAUUAGUUCGCUUUGUUUUGUGGCAAAACCCAAUUAAAAGAAAAAACUUUACGAAAAAUAUUGAAAAAUUGUGUCAAUCUGCCUCCUGACAGUAGAAAAGAUGGCCAUGUUUUUUCGAGGCGUGAAAAAAAACAUUAAUUCUGUGGCAAAUGAAAUUUUCUUGACAUAUAUUGCAACAAGACACUCCAACAAAGCUUUUUAAAUUUAAAUAUGACCAAAUAAAAUAAUCACUAUUGUGUAAUUAAAUCUUAAAAACGUUUAUAAACAAUCAUAACACAGGUCUAUAGGCCUGUGUAUAUAGACACUUUGUAUUUUGUAUAGAAAAUAAAUUUUUUUAAUAUAUAUCGGA